Molecule: long non-coding RNA, 2112 nt
Organism: Trachemys scripta elegans
Lineage: Eukaryota; Metazoa; Chordata; Testudines; Emydidae
Exons: 3
Source: RefSeq, a predicted model, not a curated record
GCAAUAAUUAUGAUUGAUGUUAUUCAAUUGUAAAUGGGACUGGGAGGCCUGGCAGUUAUGAAUGAGCAAGAGGAGGUCUCCAUGAGACAAUUAGUCUAUUAAAAGUCAGUCCAUCCCAUGAACAAGCUUGAGAAUGCCUAUAAGGCCUAGAAUUUAAAAUGCCUACAUUGCUUGCCUCUGAGCUCACAAUACAGCUGGCACACAAAUAUUCAAAAGGGUAUUGGCCAGGAAGCUUUUUGUAAAAGUCUCUCUCUCUAGUAGCCAAUGCUGCUUUUAAACACAAAAUAGUUACCCAGGCCUAAAAAACUGUCUAUAUAUGUAUUUACAGAGAAAAUAGUAAGUGUAUUAUUGGAUGUAAGUGAUUUACUCCCUCUCUCUUUUCUGUUCUGCUUUUGUCUUGCCUCUUCUUUCUUUCAUUUCACAUUGCUCUUGGCUCUUUGCCCACUUCCUUCUCAUCAUCCCACUAGCGUUGUUGUAUCUGUAAAGUUUUUCAAAAACAUGUACACACUUUGGUCCCUCAACUUGAUCCCCUUGCCAGUUGCUCUUGGAACUGCAUUUCCACAUGUUUUGUAGAAACAGGACACAUCUGCCACACAACAAAGCCUGGAGGAGGGCAUCCAGUCUUUUAGUUCCCAGAUCACUUUAUCCAAAUAUGGUGUAAUGAAAUUGGGACUAAAAAUCAAUUGUAGUGUAAUUGCCCAGGGAACACACCCACCAACGUGUGCAUGCCCAGUGAAAUAAGAUUGCUGCUGCUUUAGGGGAAUGUUAGAACAAUUUACUAGUCACAAAUAAUGACAGAUUAACUUGUAUCCACACCCGUCCUUCACCUUUUUAUCACAGAUUGCCAUGCUUCUCAGCUGAUCCGUUACACCUGUGCAAAUGUGGAGGACUCUGGAAUUCACACCAAAAAGAUGUUUCUCAACUCCAAGUGGACAAAAUACUCUCCCCUGCCCCCAGAAACAGUGUUCUGGAUGCUGAAACUACUGAGGAUAAGACAGAAGGAUACAGUGGAAUCCCUCCUCUCUGCAGAUUCUUCCCACAGUGACUUCUAACACAUGAAUGUAUUGCAUAACACAUCAAGCAUUAUGCAAUACAUUCACUCUUAUGAAAUACCAUGUGAGUUAAUUAAGCCCCAAUGGAGAAGAAAUGCUGGGGGGGAGGGGGGGGGAGAGAACCCAAUGAAUGGAGACAAUAUGAUCUCAAGGACCAGAGGGGACUAUUUUGAUUGUAUGUAUUUCUCAGAACAUUUCAUGACUUGCAUCUAGAUCAGUGAUACUCAGACUUCAGCUCUUGAGCCACAAGUGGCUUUUUGAUGUGUCUUUGCAGUGUAGGAUAUAAAAACACUGGGUGAUUUAAUUAGCCAGUCUAAGUUAUUAACCAAUCAGUAUGCUUUUACUAGGUCAUUAACCAAUUAAGUUGUCAACUUGCUCCAAUAUACAUUAUAUAAAAAAUGUCUAAAUAUUUCCCCUCUCAUACUGUUUAAAUAUGAAUACUAAAUGAAUCAAUGCAUUCACACAACUGUAGCUCUUUUGGGUAAUGUUGAUCACUAAUUUGGCUGCUGAACUCCCAAGGAGUGACUAUCACUGAUCUAGAUAUUGAAGUUCUGCAACAUGCAAACUGUAUUCCCUUAACUGGAGGGAAAGUCUUUGCUGUGGUAACUGACAGGUUAACAUGCACUACAGUGACAGGUAGAAGGUCUAGCGCAAGCUGAUUAUUACUUCUCACAUUAUUAUGGGUAUCGUACAAUCAUUCAGUAAAAGAAUGUCCAAGAGGAUUUCACCAUCUUUAGCAAAAUCCUCAUGCCAACUGCCUGUGAUGGGAGUUCCCUAGUCAGGUGACAGUAUGGACUUUAUCUGCAAAUUCAGAGACUGGAGGCAUGUUUGAGAGCACAGAAUUAACCAACCCAGAAAAUGAGGAGCACCAGUUCACUAGAGUGAAAGAGUACUUCCAGGGGAUAAAUGCAUACCUGAAAAAAAAAAAAACCACACAAUACAGCUGGUGUGUUUGGGAGAUCAGUCACAUGGAAAUGCCUAGAUGUUUUCUACUUAUUGACAGACUCCAUAGAAGGCUUGUUCAGUACAAAAAAAAAAAAAAAAAAAAAAAAAAAAAAAC